Small nuclear RNA from Myotis lucifugus (little brown bat), 216 nucleotides. Its record names the gene U2. It matches the Rfam family "U2 spliceosomal RNA". Rfam says of the family: U2 is a small nuclear RNA (snRNA) component of the spliceosome (involved in pre-mRNA splicing). Complementary binding between U2 snRNA (in an area lying towards the 5' end but 3' to hairpin I) and the branchpoint sequence (BPS) of the intron results the bulging out of an unpaired adenosine, on the BPS, which initiates a nucleophilic attack at the intronic 5' splice site, thus starting the first of two transesterification reactions that mediate splicing. The record is from Ensembl. Lineage: Eukaryota; Metazoa; Chordata; Mammalia; Chiroptera; Vespertilionidae.
AUCGCUUCUCGGCCUUUUGGCUAAGAUCAAGUGUAGUAUCUGUCCUUAUCAGUUUAAUACCAUCGUGGUAGUCCCUGCCUCUAGGCCACUGCCCAGAGGGCCCCCUGGGAUCUGAAUUCUGGCUUCUCUAUUUAGCAGAUGUGUGCCUUGGACAAGCCACGUAACUCUCUGGCCUCAGUUGCUUCAUAUAUAAAAUGAGUAGUAAGAGAACGUACU